CCUACGGGCGGCAGCAGUGAGGAAUAUUGGUCAAUGGGCGGGAGCCUGAACCAGCCAAGCCGCGUGAGGGAAGAAGGUACAGCGUAUCGUAAACCUCUUUUGUCAGGGAACAAAGGCGGGGACUAGUCCCCGGAUGAGGGUACCUGAAGAAAAAGCAUCGGCUAACUCCGUGCCAGCAGCCGCGGUAAUACGGAGGAUGCGAGCGUUAUCCGGAUUUAUGGGGGUUAAAGGGUGCGCAGGCGGCCUGUUAAGUCAGCGGUAAAAGCCCGGGGCUCAACCCCGGCGAGCCGUUGAAACUGGCGGGCUGGAGUUGGAGAGAAGUACGCGGAAUGCGCGGUGUAGCGGUGAAAUGCUUAGAUAUCGCGCAGAACCCCGAUUGCGAAGGCAGCGUACCGGCUCCACACUGACGCUGAGGCACGAAAGCGUGGGUAUCGAACAGGAUUAGAUACCCCAGUAGUC
RNAcentral lists this ribosomal RNA (459 nucleotides) under uncultured bacterium. RNAcentral describes it as "partial 16S ribosomal RNA". It matches the Rfam family "Bacterial small subunit ribosomal RNA", at positions 338 to 795 of the family's 1533-position model. The record is from RNAcentral.